ACCCGCUGAACUUAAGCAUAUCAAUAAGCGGAGGAAAAGAAACCAACAGGGAUUGCCUCAGUAACGGCGAGUGAAGCGGCAAGAGCUCAAAUUUUAAAUCUGCCUUUUAGGCCGAGUUGUAAUUUGUAGAGGAACGUUCGGUGACGUCUAGGUCCGAGUCUUCUGGAAGGAAGCGCCGAUGAGGGUGAGAGCCCCGUACGACCGACGACUUAGCCAUGUGAACGUCCUUCGAAGAGUCGAGUUGUUUGGGAAUGCAGCUCAAAGCGGGUGGUAAAUUCCAUCUAAAGCUAAAUAUUGGCCAGAGACCGAUAGCGCACAAGUAGAGUGAUCGAAAGAUGAAAAGCACUUUGGAAAGAGAGUGAAAAAGUACGUGAAAUUGUUGAAAGGGAAGCGCUCGCGACCAGACUUGAUCGUUCAGUUCAAGGGUUCUUCUGGACCCGGUACUUCUGUCUGAUCAGGCCAACAUCAGUUCGGACGGUUGGAUAAAAGCUUUGGGAACGUGGCUCCUCGGAGUGUUAUAGCCCUUUGCACAAUACAGCCAGACCGGACUGAGGAAUGCCUUUUGUAGGAUGUUGGCGUAAUGGUUGCCAGCGGCCCGUCUUGAAACACGG
This 611-nucleotide ribosomal RNA is filed under the name uncultured fungus. RNAcentral's name for it is "eukaryotic LSU rRNA". It matches the Rfam family "Eukaryotic large subunit ribosomal RNA", at positions 23 to 664 of the family's 3401-position model. Lineage: Eukaryota; Fungi. The record is from RNAcentral.